Molecule: ribosomal RNA, 253 nt
Filed under: uncultured bacterium
Lineage: Bacteria
Description: partial 16S ribosomal RNA
Rfam family: Bacterial small subunit ribosomal RNA
Source: RNAcentral
GACAGAGGGUGCAAACGUUGUUCGGAAUUACUGGGCGUAAAGCGAGUGUAGGCGGUUUGGUAAGUCGGAUGUGAAAGCCCCGGGCUCAACCCGGGAAGUGCACUCGAUACUGCCAAGCUAGAGUAUCGGAGAGGUUGGUGGAAUUCUCGGUGUAGAGGUGAAAUUCGUAGAUAUCGAGAGGAACACCGGUGGCGAAGGCGGCCAACUGGACGAAUACUGACGCUGAGACUCGAAAGCGUGGGGAGCGAACCGG